CCUACGGGAGGCAGCAGUGAGGAAUAUUGGUCAAUGGACGAGAGUCUGAACCAGCCAAGUAGCGUGAAGGAUGACUGCCCUAUGGGUUGUAAACUUCUUUUAUAAAGGAAUAAAACGAGGCACGUGUGCCUUUUUGCAUGUACUUUAUGAAUAAGGAUCGGCUAACUCCGUGCCAGCAGCCGCGGUAAUACGGAGGAUCCGAGCGUUAUCCGGAUUUGUUGGGUUUAAAGGGAGCGUAGAUGGGUUGUUAAGUCAGUUGUGAAAGUUUGCGGCUCAACCGUAAAAUUGCAAUUGAUACUGGCAGUCUUGAGUACAGUUGAGGUAAGCGGAAUUCGUGGUGUAGCGGUGAAAUGCUUAGAUAUCACGAAGAACCCCGAUUGCGAAGGCAGCUUACUAAACUGUGACUGACAUUGAUGCUCGAAAGUGUGGGUAUCAAACAGGAUUAGAUACCCCUGUAGUC
Molecule: ribosomal RNA, 460 nt
Filed under: uncultured bacterium
Lineage: Bacteria
Description: partial 16S ribosomal RNA
Rfam family: Bacterial small subunit ribosomal RNA
Source: RNAcentral